This 484-nucleotide ribosomal RNA is filed under the name uncultured bacterium. Its description in RNAcentral is "partial 16S ribosomal RNA". It matches the Rfam family "Bacterial small subunit ribosomal RNA", at positions 30 to 507 of the family's 1533-position model. The record is from RNAcentral.
AUUGAACGCUGGCGGAAUGCUUUACACAUGCAAGUCGAACGGCAGCACGGGGGCAACCCUGGUGGCGAGUGGCGAACGGGUGAGUAAUACGUCGGAACGUGCCCGGUCGUGGGGGAUAACGUAGCGAAAGUUACGCUAAUACCGCAUACGAUCUGAGGAUGAAAGCGGGGGACCUUCGGGCCUCGCGCGAUCGGAGCGGCCGAUGUCAGAUUAGGUAGUUGGUGGGGUAAAGGCCUACCAAGCCGACGAUCUGUAGCUGGUCUGAGAGGACGACCAGCCACACUGGGACUGAGACACGGCCCAGACUCCUACGGGAGGCAGCAGUGGGGAAUUUUGGACAAUGGGCGCAAGCCUGAUCCAGCCAUUCCGCAUGCAGGACGAAGGCCUUCGGGUUGUAAACUGCUUUUGUAUGGAACGAAAAGGCUCUGGCUAAUACCUGGGGCUCAUGACGGUACCGUAAGAAUAAGCACCGGCUAACUACGUG